This 68-nucleotide transfer RNA is filed under the name Astalotermes murcus. RNAcentral describes it as "tRNA-Trp". It matches the Rfam family "tRNA". Rfam says of the family: Transfer RNA (tRNA) molecules are approximately 80 nucleotides in length. Lineage: Eukaryota; Metazoa; Arthropoda; Insecta; Blattodea; Termitidae. The record is from RNAcentral.
AAGGCCUUAAGUUAAAGCUAAACUAAUAACCUUCAAAGCUAUAAAUAAAGGGCGUCCUUUAGGCCUUG